RNAcentral lists this ribosomal RNA (865 nucleotides) under uncultured bacterium. Its description in RNAcentral is "partial 16S ribosomal RNA". It matches the Rfam family "Bacterial small subunit ribosomal RNA", at positions 1 to 853 of the family's 1533-position model. The record is from RNAcentral.
GGCCGCGGGAAUUCGAUUAGAGUUUGAUCAUGGCUCAGGAUAAACGCUGGCGGCAUGCCUAACACAUGCAAGUCGAACGGGGUUUAUAUAACAGAACUCUCCGGAGGGAAGUUAUAUAAACCUAGUGGCGGACGGGUGAGUAACGCGUGGGGAACCUGCCCUGUACCGGGGGACAACAGCCAGAAAUGGCUGCUAAUACCGCAUAAUCCUGCGCUGCCGCAUGGCAGCGCAGGGAAAACUCCGGUGGUACAGGAUGGUCCCGCGUCUGAUUAGCUUGUUGGCGGGGUAACGGCCCACCAAGGCGACGAUCAGUAGCCGGCUUGAGAGAGCGGACGGCCACAUUGGGACUGAGACACGGCCCAGACUCCUGCGGGAGGCAGCAGUGGGGAAUAUUGCACAAUGGGGGGAACCCUGAUGCAGCAAUGCCGCGUGGGUGAAGAAGUACCCCGGUAUGUAAAGCCCUGUCAGCAGGGAAGAAAAUGACGGUACCUGACUAAGAAGCCCCGGCUAACUACGUGCCAGCAGCCGCGGUAAUACGUAAGGGGCGAGCGUUAUCCGGAUUUACUGGGUGUAAAGGGAACGCAAGCGGCGUGGCAAGUCAGAUGUGAAAAACCCGGGGCCCCACCCCGGGACUGCAUUUGAAACUGCCCUGCUGGAAUGCCGGAAAAGCAAGUGGAAUUCCUAGUGUAACGGUGAAAUGCGUAAAAAAUUAGAAGGAAAACCAGUGGCGGAGGCGGCUUGCUGGAGCGGAAAUGGAGCCGAAGCUUCAAAACCUGGGGGAGAAAAAAGAAUAAAAACCCGGGAAUCCCCCCCGUAAACCAGAAAAACCAGGGUGCCGGGGAAUAAAUUCCCCGGGGCCCCACCA